RNAcentral lists this ribosomal RNA (1424 nucleotides) under uncultured organism. RNAcentral describes it as "16S ribosomal RNA". It matches the Rfam family "Bacterial small subunit ribosomal RNA". The record is from RNAcentral.
CUUAACACAUGCAAGUCGAACGGAAAGGCCCUGCUUUUGUGGGGUGCUCGAGUGGCGAACGGGUGAGUAACACGUGAGUAACCUGCCCUUGACUUUGGGAUAACUUCAGGAAACUGGGGCUAAUACCGGAUAGGAGCUCCUGCUGCAUGGUGGGGGUUGGAAAGUUUCGGCGGUUGGGGAUGGACUCGCGGCUUAUCAGCUUGUUGGUGGGGUAGUGGCUUACCAAGGCUUUGACGGGUAGCCGGCCUGAGAGGGUGACCGGCCACAUUGGGACUGAGAUACGGCCCAGACUCCUACGGGAGGCAGCAGUGGGGAAUAUUGCACAAUGGGCGGAAGCCUGAUGCAGCAACGCCGCGUGCGGGAUGACGGCCUUCGGGUUGUAAACCGCUUUCGCCUGUGACGAAGCGUGAGUGACGGUAAUGGGUAAAGAAGCACCGGCUAACUACGUGCCAGCAGCCGCGGUGAUACGUAGGGUGCGAGCGUUGUCCGGAUUUAUUGGGCGUAAAGGGCUCGUAGGUGGUUGAUCGCGUCGGAAGUGUAAUCUUGGGGCUUAACCCUGAGCGUGCUUUCGAUACGGGUUGACUUGAGGAAGGUAGGGGAGAAUGGAAUUCCUGGUGGAGCGGUGGAAUGCGCAGAUAUCAGGAGGAACACCAGUGGCGAAGGCGGUUCUCUGGGCCUUUCCUGACGCUGAGGAGCGAAAGCGUGGGGAGCGAACAGGCUUAGAUACCCUGGUAGUCCACGCUGUAAACGGUGGGUACUAGGUGUGGGGUACAUUCCACGGGUUCCGUGCCGUAGCUAACGCUUUAAGUACCCCGCCUGGGGAGUACGGCCGCAAGGCUAAAACUCAAAGGAAUUGACGGGGCCCCGCACAAGCGGCGGAGCAUGCGGAUUAAUUCGAUGCAACGCGUAGAACCUUACCUGGGUUUGACAUGGAUCGGGAGUGCUCAGAGAUGGGUGUGCCUCUUUUGGGGUCGGUUCACAGGUGGUGCAUGGCUGUCGUCAGCUCGUGUCGUGAGAUGUUGGGUUAAGUCCCGCAACGAGCGCAACCCUUGUUCACUGUUGCCAGCACGUUAUGGUGGGGACUCAGUGGAGACCGCCGGGGUCAACUCGGAGGAAGGUGGGGAUGACGUCAAGUCAUCAUGCCCCUUAUGUCCAGGGCUUCACGCAUGCUACAAUGGCUGGUACAGAGAGUGGCGAGCCUGUGAGGGUGAGCGAAUCUCGGAAAGCCGGUCUCAGUUCGGAUUGGGGUCUGCAACUCGACCUCAUGAAGUCGGAGUCGCUAGUAAUCGCAGAUCAGCAACGCUGCGGUGAAUACGUUCCCGGGGCUUGUACACACCGCCCGUCAAGUCAUGAAAGUUGGUAACACCCGAAGCCGGUGGCCUAACCGUUGAGGGGAGCCGUCGAAGGUGGGACUGGUGAUUAGG